This is a long non-coding RNA of Neofelis nebulosa (Clouded leopard), 1003 nucleotides long. RefSeq lists it as uncharacterized. NCBI's taxonomy places the organism in Eukaryota, Metazoa, Chordata, Mammalia, Carnivora, Felidae. The transcript is spliced from 5 exons. The record is from RefSeq and is a predicted model, not a curated record.
UCCUCCCAUGUCCUUUCCGAUCGGGCACCUGACCUUGAGCAGCUCCAUAACCGGCUUCAUCAAAGGUUCCAACCAGGUUAGUCGAGUAGGGGCAGAGCAGCAGAAGAAGCGGUCAAAGUCACAGAGGAAGCAGGUGGCAGAGAUCGGCCAGGACUCGCAUAGGCCGAGUCCUCAAAGAAGAGCCUCUAACGGAAGGCUUGUCUGUUAGACGGAGGAGGAAACUGAGGCUCCGAGAGAUUAAGACAUUUGCCCGAGGUCACACAGCUAGUGCACGACAGGGCUGAAAUUCCAAUGAUCCGCACCGCCACUGCCCCUCCCCAUUUCUAAGAGGAAAAUAACCAUCGAUGUGAUCGACUGAUUACAGUCACCAGCCCAGCUAUUAAGGGCUUGCUAUGUGCCAAGCACUGUGCUGGGCACGGACAUGAAUGAUCGAGCCAUGCCUAGCUCUUUGACCUGACGUCCUACCUGCUUUCCCCUCAAUCACCGCCUGCCACCCUCUUCACGACCUCCUUUCUGCUCCUUGAACAUGCCAGGUUCUUCGCACGGACUGCUCCCUCCGCCUGGAUGUCCCCCCCCACAUCCCCGCGUCAUCCCAUCUCAGUGGCUGCUUCCUUCUCACGUGGGUCUUUGCUCAAACGUCACCUCCUCCGAGGCGCCCCCCCACCCCCAAUCUACUGAAACGUAACCUUCCUCCACUCUGCGUCACACACUCUAUGUCGAGUCUCCCCCGAGUUCUUUCCUUCACAGCACGAGUCAUCGUUUCAAACCAUUCCCUACUAGAUUAAACUCCAUGAGAACCGGGAGUCCUCAUUAAACCUCACCGUAUCCCCAGUGCCCGGAACAGCACCUGGAACAUAGCGGAGGUUCACUGCAGGCCGGGGCCACACUGUGCUUUGCCUCCAGCAGGGAAGACUGUGGGCUACGCUUGCACGAGGGAAUUCCACUGCCAUCAGGAAAUAUUUACAGAGCACCUACUACCUUCCAGGCACCACUGCAGAAACCA